This 377-nucleotide ribosomal RNA is filed under the name uncultured bacterium. RNAcentral's name for it is "bacterial SSU rRNA". It matches the Rfam family "Bacterial small subunit ribosomal RNA", at positions 362 to 757 of the family's 1533-position model. The record is from RNAcentral.
UCUUAGACAAUGGGCGCAAGCCUGAUCUAGCCAUGCCGCGUGAGCGAUGAAGGCCUUAGGGUUGUAAAGCUCUUUCAGAUGGGAAGAUAAUGACGGUACCAUCAGAAGAAGCCCCGGCUAACUCCGUGCCAGCAGCCGCGGUAAUACGGAGGGGGCUAGCGUUGUUCGGAAUUACUGGGCGUAAAGCGCGCGUAGGCGGAUUGGAAAGUUGGGGGUGAAAUCCCGGGGCUCAACCUCGGAACUGCCUUCAAAACUCCCAGUCUUGAGUUCGAGAGAGGUGAGUGGAAUUCCGAGUGUAGAGGUGAAAUUCGUAGAUAUUCGGAGGAACACCAGUGGCGAAGGCGGCUCACUGGCUCGAUACUGACGCUGAGUGCGAA